UGCAUUUCCCGAAAAAGCACAAUUAAUGCGGCAUCUACUUGGUUCAGUACUCUGUUAUCUCCUGAGGUACAAUCGAGUUAAAUAAGAGCCAUGGGAUGAACAACACAUAUUUGAUUAAUUGCGGUUUGCAACUUAUUGCAUCUUUCCGAUGUAGUCGUUUCGCAAAAUGCGCAAGUUUCUUCGUAAUAACACAGAAUCUUAUAUCAUGCGAAUGGCACAACAUACACAAAAAUAAUCCAGCAAUUUUUGAUUUAUUCGGUAAAGAUCGACUGUAGAAAUCCCGUGAAUCGAUGUACAAAUUUCGUGGAUGGGCGGAGAAACAGAAAUGCAGUCAGGGCAUCGCCGAUGCACACUGCCACAACUGAUAAUCAAAUGAACUCGAAUCAGGUCAUUGUUCAGAGAGGAACGGCAGCAGCGACGGCUUCGAGCCAAAAGAUUGACGAUGGCACUCGAUCGUUUCUAUUCCUAACGCUACUUACGUUCAGCGUAAUGUUGCAACGGAUCACGAUGAAUCUCUAUCAGGUUCAGGGAAUUUUGGAUCCCAUUCUUUUUGCGUUGUCUUUGAGUAUUUUUCGUUCUGCGCUUGUGCAGUUUUGCAAGAAACCUGCCGUGCCCAAUAGGCACGCUCCUCUGAUUCGAUUGAAUUAAUUCGCAUAUUGAGACGAAUUGCAUAUCUGGAGUAAUUUUAAUUCGGUUCGGUUUAUUUUCCUGUGGCUACCAAUAAGUUUUGUUUGGAAAAGUCGCUUUUUUUUGCAUUUUUUCAUGUUACCCGUUUCGUAGACAACUACAGUAUGUCUUAAAAUACAAUUUAUUAACAAAACUUGCUGUUCCUGAUAAUGCUCGAAUUCUCAUGCCCAGUAUAUUAAAUACGUCGAAUGGUUGUUUGAUUUUCUUAUAUGUUAUAUCCGCUGCGUUGCUCUGUCCAACAUUGCAUUUACACACAUUCAGCCGAUAAUAGUUAAGCUUCCGGUAUGACGCAAACAGCGAGCUCAUUCACAUACUACAGUAAUCAAGGAUUACCUUACUAAUUACAGUAAUUAAGGAUUACCUUACUACAGUAAUUAAGGACAGAUCAAAGAACGAAGCACCAUCGCUCAAAUUCUGACUUUAUUUUGUCGAUAUUCACAUACGGAAUGUACGAUAGAGCUAAUUUUUCUUCCGAUGACUGCGCACAUUUCACUUCAUCGCUCGUAUGUACUCGUAUAAAGCCGAACGUAUAAUUAUUAUACCGAUGUACUGUUUCUCACUUUUAUAGCACGUGCUUGUGGACGUGCAUUCGGUACUAUUACGAUUUUAGCAACAAAAUGCCGAUGUUUAUGUGGAUUCUUUCAGUUCUAUCGGCAUCUACUGUGGUGCUCGGUGUGUAAGGAAAGGAAAACAUUCUUUAGCGACUGAGUAAAUGAAUUAAACUCUUCAUGUUACAGGUGAUACGGGUGGCAGCAGUGGUGGAUCCGCAAAACGCUCAAGCCACCGAGGGACAAAUUGACCUCGACGUUCAACAGUCGCCUUCGCUAGACAACAGCAACCACCAGUCGCUGGCCACCGGACAGAGCAGCGUCGCAGGUACAUCGAUAUCGUUCAACAGUAACACCAAUACGGCUCUCCAGUUUGAUCCCGCGCUUCCUGCCAACCCCGUUAUUUCUGGAAGUAACUCAGCAAACUCCCAUGGAAACGGCGUCACCGGUGUUAUACAGAACAACGACCAAAGCCAUUCCAACAGCACGAACGACGGUCAGCAUCACUCGGUGGUCGGCCAGUCGCAUAUAACGGCAAUGGCACGGGAUUGUAUUUGAACAAUUACGCGAACGGGGAACUUUUUGCCUAUCACGACACGACCGGAGCGCCGUAUCGUACGACACCAGCGCCUUGCCAAGGUUAUCCGUGCCAGGGUCGAUGUUUCCCGGGAUGGAAUGGCGUGUCGUGUACGUGUUUCUGCCCACCCGCAACGGCUCCCGAAGGACCAGAAUCACUAGUUGGCAGCAGAAGCGAACAGUGAAAACUGUCUCACGCGGCUGAUCAGCGGCGGCGCGACGCAGCGCCCCGAGCAAAAACCGGUAACGCACAGAAGCGUGGACGGCCACAGGCUGGGAAACCUGGAAAGUCUCACGAAGCAGAUCAUCCCACCACGGCUCAACGACAAAGCUCGUGAUAGAAUCUGAAGAGUUUUUAAACGGCAAAAUAACUCCGGUCCUUAUACAUCACUUAAAUUACUGUAUAAAGCAUCUUCAUCCGUUACGGUGUGUUCCAACCAUUCCCUGCA
This is an RNA transcript of Paramacrobiotus metropolitanus, 2260 nucleotides long. RefSeq lists it as uncharacterized. The record is from RefSeq and is a predicted model, not a curated record. NCBI's taxonomy places the organism in Eukaryota, Metazoa, Tardigrada, Eutardigrada, Parachela, Macrobiotidae. The transcript has 3 exons.